Molecule: ribosomal RNA, 646 nt
Filed under: Sarcogyne belarusensis
Lineage: Eukaryota; Fungi; Ascomycota; Lecanoromycetes; Acarosporales; Acarosporaceae
Description: SSU rRNA
Rfam family: Bacterial small subunit ribosomal RNA
Source: RNAcentral
CUAGUUGUAUUAACUCUUAGUUAAUACAAGAUCGACUAUGUCGACUAAAGUUCUAGGUAGAAUAAUGAUGAUGACAAUUUUCUACCUAUAUGUCUUGACCAAAUCUCGUGCCAGCAGUCGCGGUAAUACGUGGAAGACUAGUGUUAUUCAUCUUAAAUAGGUUUAAAGGGUACCUAGACGGUAUAUCUAGCCCAAAACAGGGUACGGAUUAACUAGAGUUUUAUGUGAGAAGGGGAGUACUUUUAGAGUAAAGAUGAAAUUUUAUGAUACUAUGAGGAAACUGGUGGCGGCGAAAGCAACCUUCUAUGUAUAAACUGACGUUGAGGGACGAAGGCUUGGGUAGCAAAUAGGAUUAGAUACCCUAGUAGUCCAAGCAGACAAUUCUGAAUGCCAUAGAUUAGAUUUUUUUGAUUUAUAAAUGAAAGUGUAAGCAUUCCACCUUAGGAGUAAUGUGGCAACACAGGAACUGAAAUCAUUAGACCGUUUCUGAAACCAGUAGUGAAGUAUGUUAUUUAAUUUGAUAGUCCUCAAAAAACCUUACCACAACUUGAAUGUUAUUUAAUUAAUACAAGCGUUGCACGGCUGUCUUCAGUUAAUGUCGUGAGAUUUUGGUUAACUCCUUAAAUUAACGUAAACCCAUGCUUUA